UGGGGAAUUUUGGACAAUGGGGGCAACCCUGAUCCAGCCAUUCCGCGUGAGUGAAGAAGGCCUUCGGGUUGUAAAGCUCUUUUGUCCGGAACGAAACGGAUACGUCUAAUACGCGUGUCUACUGACGGUACCGGAAGAAUAAGCACCGGCUAACUUCGUGCCAGCAGCCGCGGUAAUACGAAGGGGGCGAGCGUUGUUCGGAGUUACUGGGCGUAAAGGGCGCGUAGGCGGCGCUCCAAGUUAGGCGUGAAAGCCCCGGGCUCAACCUGGGAAUUGCGCUUAAGACUGGAGUGCUCGAGUGCGGAAGAGGUGAGUGGAAUUCCCAGUGUAGAGGUGAAAUUCGUAGAUAUUGGGAAGAACACCAGUGGCGAAGGCGGCUCACUGGUCCGCAACUGACGCUGAGGCGCGAAAGCGUGGGGAGCAAA
Molecule: ribosomal RNA, 425 nt
Filed under: uncultured bacterium
Lineage: Bacteria
Description: bacterial SSU rRNA
Rfam family: Bacterial small subunit ribosomal RNA
Source: RNAcentral